Molecule: long non-coding RNA, 319 nt
Filed under: Hordeum vulgare
Lineage: Eukaryota; Viridiplantae; Streptophyta; Magnoliopsida; Poales; Poaceae
Description: long non-coding RNA (HVUL_LNC019759)
Source: RNAcentral
UGGUCAGGUACAUCCGUAUAUGACAAACUUUUAAUCAAAAUGCUAUUCCUCCGGUACAUGACAAAGGACGAGUCUCAGCGGGGUCGUUCUCGUCGGUGCUUGAUUACCCGUCGUGAUUCAAUUUUAUCUUUGGGUUGGACAAUAUUUUACUCAUUCCUCUUCUCUUUGGUUACUAACUGGCUUAUUGCUGAACCAUUGCGUGCUACAUGUUCCCUCGAUAUAGCUUGCCCUUGAGUUUUUUUUUUUUUGGAAACAAAGGGAAAGAUUUGUCAUUUCCAUUGAUUAAGAAGGUUUUAGGAGUUUAGGCCAAAGGCCGAAU